GUUUUAAAUGCGUUUAUAGCAAGAUGACAUUCUGAUACUUUAAAGUGUGUAAAAGCAGCAGUCCUGCCGACGCCCAGUGGUCUAAUCGGACAGGACUACCAAAGGUGCACAGGGGUAUGUGGAGUGAGCAGGGCGUGCACAUGCCUCCGAGAAGGCCAGCAACAACCCCUUUCAGACUCAUUAAUGAUCCUUCCGCAGGUUCACCUACGGAAA
This 213-nucleotide unclassified non-coding RNA is filed under the name uncultured fungus. RNAcentral's name for it is "sequence contains ITS1". Lineage: Eukaryota; Fungi. The record is from RNAcentral.